Molecule: non-coding RNA, 1213 nt
Organism: Podarcis lilfordi (Lilford's wall lizard)
Lineage: Eukaryota; Metazoa; Chordata; Lepidosauria; Squamata; Lacertidae
Source: the annotation of a GenBank genome assembly
CAGUGGUGCCUCGCAAGACGAAAUUAAUUCGUUCCGCAAGUCUCUUCGUCUUGCGAGUUUUUCGUCUUGCGAUGCACGGUUUCCCAUAGGAAUGCAUUGAAAAUCAAUUAAUGCGUUCCUAGGGAAACCGCCUUCAGACUCAGGUCCGGGGACAGUCUGUCCCCGGACCUCUUCUGAAGGCUGGGGGUGCAAGGGCUUUUCUUCCCACCCCCAGCAUUUUAAAAAACCCCGGGACAGCGGAGGACUUCUCCGCUGUCCGGGCGAUCUUAAAAUGCUGGCGGGCGGCAUUUUAAAAUCACCCCGGGACAGCGGAGGACUUCUCCACUGUCCGGGGCAAUUUAAAAGCCCCUGGGAAGGCAGGCAGGGGGGACAAAGACUUUUGCCCCCCGCCAGCCUUCAGAAGAGGUCCAGGACCUCUUCUGAAGGCUGGCGGGGGGCAAAAGUCUUUGUCCCCCCUGCCUUCAAAAGCCCUCCGGGACAGGCAGGCAGGGGGGAGCAAAGACUUUCGCCCCCCGCCCGCCUUCAGAAGGUCUUCCCUCCCCCCCGCCCGGCUUCGGAGCACCGUUCCGAAGCCGGGCAGAGGCGGGAGGUCUUCCCUCCCCACCGCCCGGCUUCGGAGCACCGUUCCGAAGCCGGGCAGAGGCGGGAGGUCUUCCCUCCCCCCCGCCCGGCUUCGGAGCACCGUUCCGAAGCCGGGCGGCGGCGGCAGGUGUUCCCUCCCCCGCCCGGCUUCGGAGCACCGUUCCGAGCCGGGCGGCGGCGGCAGGUGUUCCCUCCCCCGCCCGGCUCGGAGCACCGUUCCGAGCCGGGCGGCGGCGGGAGGUGUUCCCUCCCCGCCCGGCCGGAGCACCGUCCGGCCGGGCGGCGGGGAGGUCUUCCCUCCCCACCGCCCGGCUUCGGAGCACCGUUCCGAGCCGGGCGGCGGCGGCAGGUGUUCCCUCCCCCCCGCCCGGCUUCGGAGGAGCCUUCCGAAGCCCGGCGGCGGCGGGAGGAGGUGUCCCCGCCCCGCCGCCAGGCUUCGGAGGAGGUCCGAGGACAGUGGGGAAGACGCGCUGCGCUUCCCCGCUGUCCCUGAGAUUUCCCUAUGGGCUGUCGUCUUGCGAAGCAAGCCCAUAGGGAAAUUCGUUUUGCGAAGCGCCUCCAAAACGGAAAACCCUUUCGUCUAGCGGGUUUUCCGUCUUGCGAGGCGUUCGUCUUGCGGGGUACCACUGUA